GNAAAGCGUGGGUAGCGAACAGGAUUAGAUACCCUGGUAGUCCACGCCGUAAACGAUGAGUGNUAGGUGUUAGGCCCUUUCCGGGGCUUAGUGCCGGAGCUAACGCAAUAAGCACUCCGCCUGGGGAGUACGACCGCAAGGUUGAAACUCAAAGGAAUUGACGGGGGCCCGCACAAGCGGUGGAGCAUGUGGUUUAAUUNGAAGCAACGCGAAGAACCAUACCAGGUCUUGACAUCCCGAUGCUAUUCUUAGAGAUAGGAAGUUACUUCGGUACAUCGGAGACAGGUGGUGCAUGGUUGUCGUCAGCUCGUGUCGUGGGAUGUUGGGUUANNNNNNNNNNNCGGGCGCAACCCUUAUUGUUAGUUGCCAUCAUUAAGUUGGGCACUCUAGCGAGACUGCCGGUAAUAAACCGGAGGAAGGUGGGGAUGACGUCAAAUCAUCAUGCCCCUUAUGACCUGGGCUACACACGUGCUACAAUGGUCGGUACAACGAGUUGCGAGCCGGUGACGGCAAGCUAAUCUCUGAAAGCCGAUCUCAGUUCGGAUUGGAGG
This 551-nucleotide ribosomal RNA is filed under the name uncultured bacterium. Its description in RNAcentral is "partial 16S ribosomal RNA". It matches the Rfam family "Bacterial small subunit ribosomal RNA", at positions 754 to 1304 of the family's 1533-position model. The record is from RNAcentral.